GGGGGCUCUGUUGGUUCUCCCGCAACGCUAACUUGUUAACUUGGUCAGGUCCGGAAGGAAGCAGCCAUAGCAGGGGAUGUGUGUGCCGGGAUGUCGCUGGCAGAGCCCUCGCCAAUU
Molecule: signal recognition particle RNA, 117 nt
Filed under: Photorhabdus laumondii subsp. laumondii TTO1
Lineage: Bacteria; Pseudomonadati; Pseudomonadota; Gammaproteobacteria; Enterobacterales; Morganellaceae
Rfam family: Bacterial small signal recognition particle RNA (bases 9-105)
About the family: The signal recognition particle (SRP) is a universally conserved ribonucleoprotein involved in the co-translational targeting of proteins to membranes. Archaeal SRP consists of a 7S RNA and homologues of the eukaryotic SRP19 and SRP54 proteins.
Source: RNAcentral